UCCCGUUGAUCCUGCGGGAGGCUGCUGCUAUCAGGGUUCGAUUUAACCAUGCAAGUCAAGGGGUCCUUCGGGACACCGGCAGAAUGCUCAGUAACACGUCAAUAAUCUAACCUUAGGUCUUGGAUAACCUUGGUAAACUGAGGCUAAUAUGAGAUAGAAGAACAAUUCUGGAACGAGGUUCUUUGAAAAGUAAUGCCUAAGGAUGAGUUGGCGGCUGAUUAGGUUGAUGGUGGGGUAAAGGCCCACCAUGCCUACGAUCAGUAGGGGCCUUGAGAGAGGGAGCCCCGAGAAGGGCACUUAGACACUUGCCCUAGCCCUACGGGGUGCAGCAGGUGCGAAACCUUUACAAUGCACGAAAGUGUGAUAAGGGAACCCUGAGUGCCUAUACUUUGUAUAGGCUUUUACUAAAGGUAAAUACUUUAGUGAAUAAGCGGUGGGUAAGACUGGUGCCAGCCGCCGCGGUAACACCAGCGCCGCUAGUGGGAGCCGCGUUUAUUGGGCCUAAAGCGUCCGUAGCUGGAUAAAUAAAUCUUUUGUGAAAUUGUAAAGCUUAACUUUACAGCGUGCAGAAGACACUGUUUGUCUUGGAACCGGAAGGAGUCAGAGGUAUGGAAAGGGGAGCGGUAAAAUGCUAUAAUCCUUUUUAGACCACCUGUGGCAAAGGCGUCUGACUAGUACGGGUUCGACAGUGAGGGACGAAAGCCAGGGGAGCGAACCGGAUUAGAUACGAGAAAUCAUGUCUGAUUUCUGGAGUUAGCUUUGUAAAAGAUUCGUUAAAUCUACUAAAUUACGAGCGAAACAGAAGUUGCUAUAUGAUGAUUUACUCGCUAACUACCCGAGUAGUCCUGGCUGUAAACUCUGCGAGCAAGGUGUUGCACAUUCCACGAGGAUGUGCUGUGUCGAAGCGAAGGCGUUAAGCUCGCCGCCUGGGAAGUACGGUCGCAAGGCUGAAACUUAAAGGAAUUGGCGGGGGAGCGCCACCAGGGGUGCGGCGUGCGGUUUAAUCUAAUUCAACACAGAGAAUCUCACCAGGGGCGACGGCAGAAUGAAAGUCAGGCUGAAGACCUUACUUGACAAGCCGAGAGGUAGUGCAUGGCCGUCCUCAGCUCGUGCCGCGAGGUGUCCUCUUAAGUGAGGUAACGAGCAAGACCUGUAUCUACAGUUGCUAACAAGUUCUUUAGAAUGAUUGAGCACACUGUAGAGACUGCCUUGGAAACAAGGAGGAAGGUGCAGGCUACGACAGGUCUGUAUGCUCCAAAUCCACUGGGCUACACGCGCGCAGCAAUGGUAGGGACAAUGGGAUACAACUCCGAAAGGAGAAGUUAAACCUCUAAACCCUACCCAAGUUCAGAUUGAGGAUUGUAAUUCAUCCUCAUGACGAUGGAAUCCCUAGUAAUUGGACAUUAUCAGUGUCCAGUGAAUAUGUCCCCGCUCCUUGCACACACUGCCCGUCAAAUCAACCGAGCAGGGUUUUGAUGAGGCUUAGUCAUUAGAUUGAGUCGAAUCUAAGCUCAGUGAGGUGGGUUAAGUCGUCACAAGGUAUCCGUA
Molecule: ribosomal RNA, 1548 nt
Filed under: Candidatus Woesearchaeota archaeon
Lineage: Archaea; Nanobdellati; Candidatus Woesearchaeota
Also listed under: 1 other name
Description: bacterial SSU rRNA
Rfam family: Archaeal small subunit ribosomal RNA
Source: RNAcentral